Harmonia axyridis is the source of this 609-nucleotide long non-coding RNA. RefSeq lists it as uncharacterized. The record is from RefSeq and is a predicted model, not a curated record. The transcript is spliced from 2 exons. Lineage: Eukaryota; Metazoa; Arthropoda; Insecta; Coleoptera; Coccinellidae.
UUGCCUGCGAAAAAUUAGUCCCCAAUCCCGGUUGUCGAAUUUUAAAAAGUUAAAUAUUGCUGCGAGUGAAUGUGUGCGACUGAGAGGUUCCAAUCAACUAUCUCAUGCGAUAGAAGAGGACACAGCAUAGCAGCUGUUUGCAGUCCGUCCAGUGAAAGAAAGAGAGUGCGCAUGCUAUUUGUUCUUGGAAAUGAAAAGGAUAGCGAUUGACUCGUAUAUGCGUGCAUCAUUUUGGAGUAGAUUGUCGCUAUAAUCACAACUGAAAAAACGUGCUACUAUUUAUUGUUGGAAAAAAUGGCAAAAAAGUGUUUUUUGUGUGAUUCGGAUGAUAAUAUAAUUGAUUUUAACGAUGAAACUUUUGAAAACUGUGUAGUAAAAUUAGCUUUCCGUAAAAAAAAAAACUUUAAAUACAAUUUUGUUGAGCUAUCCAGUGCGUCACUUGAAUUUGUAGGUUAUCAUAGCACGUGUUAUAAAAAAGUGACCGUUUUGAAUAAAAAAUAUAACGAAGAAUUUCUUAAUUUUAGUGCUUAUACAGUGAGAGGAGAAAAAGAAGUAUUUCCAGACACUCCACCUAUUUCCGAAGUUUAUAUGCAAGAGCAAAACCUUCAA